ACUCAAAAACAACAAAAGGUUGCCUUCUGUCCAGCCUUAGUAUGAGGCUUAUUGUGUGCACUGUUACGAAAUGUGGAGAUGGUUUUGCUCAGACAAACUUUAUUACCAGCACCAAUGAGGGGAACUGAGAAUUCUGAGACACUGCAGUUGACAUCACAGAACUCUAGCUGCUCUGUGUACUGUAUCCUUUUCCACCUUUGUCCUUAAAAGCUAUUGGAACCCUUAUAAAAAAUGCAGCUGUGUAUUUAGAGAGCAACCCUUACUUUGAAUGGUUCUUUUACCUGAUAAGGCAUCUGGAUAUUUAUUCCUCCAACCCAACUCCAAUCGCCCCCUUUUGUGUUUGCCCAGGUAGAGGAAAAUCUCCAGUCCACUCCCAUCUGUUUGCCUCAUCCAGGCCAUGGAAGGAUCACUACUACAAUAAAAUUCCUGAGACUGCCAAGACCCAGGAACCUUGGGUCUGUGUAACACAUGUACCUGGUGCCCAAGGAAGCCAGAAGAGGAUAUCAGAACCCCUGGGCUGGCUUUACACAGUCAUUUUCCAUCACCUCAGUGCUGGGAGCUGAACCUCAGUCCUCUGAAAGAGUAGCUAGUGCUCCUAACUGUUGAGACAUCUCUCCAGCACCCAGAAGACCACAAGAGAAUGCCUAGGAGUAACAAAGUGAACAGCAUCUCUGCUCCUGGUUUGACACUUACAGUCUAGAAAGUUUCCAUGUGUGAUGAACAGGACCUCUGUCUCCCCUUGGGAGCUUAAGCAAGCUGUGGUAGACCACAGGAACCAAUGGAAAUACCGCAUCCUAUUUAUGCUGGAUCACAUUUCAUCAUCUCUGACAAAUGCAGUCUUUGGGGAAGAAUAUUAACAACCAUGGGGGACACAGUAGUUGUUUGGAGACACCCGCAAUAAAUAGCCAAGAAUUAUUUU
RNAcentral lists this long non-coding RNA (919 nucleotides) under Mus pahari (shrew mouse). RNAcentral's name for it is "lncRNA (MGP_PahariEiJ_G0004973.1)". The record is from RNAcentral. Lineage: Eukaryota; Metazoa; Chordata; Mammalia; Rodentia; Muridae.